This 879-nucleotide long non-coding RNA is filed under the name Spirodela polyrhiza (greater duckweed). RNAcentral's name for it is "long non-coding RNA (SPOL_LNC001305)". The record is from RNAcentral. Lineage: Eukaryota; Viridiplantae; Streptophyta; Magnoliopsida; Alismatales; Araceae.
AGGUAUGCAGAGUGACUUCCGAAGAGCUUGCCCUUUCACCUGGAUGAAUUUAUGUGCUUUUUCUUCGUCAAUAUUGUGGAGGAAAUGCGAAACUGAAAUUUUAUCUUUAUUAAGUGGUUCCAUCAAUUUUUCUGAGCAUUCGGAACAAAUAAAGUUCCAGAAUGAGUCGAGCAGUUCAUCACAGUUACCAUAAAAAACUUGGAAGUACAUGUCACGAUAAAUGUGGGUUCGGCUUGUUUUUCGUCAGCGUUGACUUCUAUUGUUAGCUCUGCCUAAGGUAAGCGUGAGAAGAAUACGCAGUUAAGCUGUAAUCAUCGCAGUACCAGAACCUCGAGCGAUCUCUGAGACAAAACUAGAGAGCGAUUUUGAAGUGUCGCCUGACAUACGGAGCUCGUUUGGACAAAAAUCGCAGAUCAAGGAGGGGACCGAAGAAUGGGAAAGGAUUGCGAACGAGGCAGCGAGGACGAUUCCUGGAAGGGAGAACGGCGGAAACUGUGACAUCAAGAAUCUCAGCAGAGGCUCCAAGGUGUACCUUCCGGUGUUCGUAGAAGGGGCGAACUUGAGUACAGGAGACAUGCACUUCUCACAGGGCGAUGGAGAGGUAUCCUUCUGCGGAGCAAUUGAAAUGAGCGGCUUCCUGGAGCUCAAGUAAUAUGACCCCCCCUCCCCCACUCACCCCACACCCAUGCACAAGACCCUAUGUUGGUCGCCCUUCUCACCAUAUCCUGUGAUCGACAUGGGCCGCUGAAUCUUUCUUGUUUCUCUUCUACUCUGAAGGUGCGAGAUCAUCAGGGGCGGGAUGAAGGAGUACCUCACGCCAAUGGGUCCAACCGCGCUGCAUGUGAAUCCAAUCUUCGAGAUUGGACCCAUGGAGCCGAG